AGUUUAACGGCCGCGGUAUUCUGACCGUGCAAAGGUAGCAUAAACACUUGUUCUCCAAAUAAGGACUUGUAUGAAUGGCCACACGAGGGUUUUACUGUCUCUUACUUCCAAUCAGUGAAAUUGACCUUCCCGUGAAGAGGCGGGAAUAAAAAAAUAAGACGAGAAGACCCUAUGGAGCUUUAAUUAACUAUUCCAAAAGUUAAACAAUUCAACCACAAAGGGAUAAAACAUAACUUAACAUGGACUAGCAAUUUCGGUUGGGGUGACCUCGGAGUACAAAAAACCCUCCGAGUGAUUUUAAUCUAGACAAACCAGUCAAAAUAACCAUAACAUCACUUAUUGAUCCAAAACUUUGAUCAACGGAACAAGUUACCCUAGGGAUAACAGCGCAAUCCUAUUCUAGAGUUCCUAUCGACAAUAGGGUUUACGACCUCGAUGUUGGAUCAGGACACCCAAAUGGUGCAACCGCUAUUAAAGGUUCGUUUGUUCAACGAUUAAAGUCCUACGUGAUCUGAGU
Molecule: ribosomal RNA, 517 nt
Filed under: Sus scrofa (pig)
Lineage: Eukaryota; Metazoa; Chordata; Mammalia; Artiodactyla; Suidae
Description: partial 16S ribosomal RNA
Rfam family: Bacterial large subunit ribosomal RNA
Source: RNAcentral